Molecule: unclassified non-coding RNA, 218 nt
Filed under: Hevea brasiliensis (rubber tree)
Lineage: Eukaryota; Viridiplantae; Streptophyta; Magnoliopsida; Malpighiales; Euphorbiaceae
Source: RNAcentral
GUCUCGUUCCUCCAAUAACAGUAGUAUUUCACCGUCCAAAAAGUAGCAUUCUCAACCAAAUUUUGGGUAUUUGUCCUAAAAGGACAAGGCUGUGAAAAGGCAAGGUAUGUGUACUGACUUAGUACCAAGUCCUUGUCAAUGUAUUAUCUACCUGAGAUAUUAAAGAGUAGGAGAAGACAGGCAAAUUAACAUGUUCACCAUCUCCGAUGAUUGUACAA